GUUAAGUGACUAAGCGUACACGGUGGAUGCCUGGGCAGUCAGAGGCGAUGAAGGACGUACUAACUUGCGAUAAGCGCAGAUAAGGCAGUAAGAGCCGUUUGAGUCUGCGAUUUCCGAAUGGGGAAACCCAACUGCAUAAGCAGUUACUGUUAACUGAAUACAUAGGUUAACAGAGCAAACCGGGGGAACUGAAACAUCUAAGUACCCCGAGGAGAAGAAAUCAACCGAGAUUCCGGUAGUAGCGGCGAGCGAACCUGGAUUAGCCCUUAAGCACUCGGUGAAGUAGGUGAACAAGCUGGAAAGCUUGGCGAUACAGGGUGAUAGCCCCGUAACCGACGCUUCAUCGAGCGUGAAAUCGAGUAGGGCGGGACACGUGAUAUCCUGUCUGAAUAUGGGGGGACCAUCCUCCAAGGCUAAAUACUCCUGACUGACCGAUAGUGAACCAGUACCGUGAGGGAAAGGCGAAAAGAACCCCUGUGAGGGGAGUGAAAUAGAACCUGAAACCGUGUACGUACAAGCAGUAGGAGCACCUUCGUGGUGUGACUGCGUACCUUUUGUAUAAUGGGUCAGCGACUUAUAUUCAGUGGCAAGGUUAACCGUAUAGGGGAGCCGUAGCGAAAGCGAGUCUUAACUGGGCGCUCAGUCUCUGGAUAUAGACCCGAAACCGGGUGAUCUAGCCAUGGGCAGGUUGAAGGUUGAGUAACAUCAACUGGAGGACCGAACCGACUAAUGUUGAAAAAUUAGCGGAUGACUUGUGGCUAGGGGUGAAAGGCCAAUCAAACUCGGAGAUAGCUGGUUCUCCCCGAAAGCUAUUUAGGUAGCGCCUCGGACGAAUACUACUGGGGGUAGAGCACUGUUAAGGCUAGGGGGUCAUCCCGACUUACCAACCCUUUGCAAACUCCGAAUACCAGUAAGUACUAUCCGGGAGACACACGGCGGGUGCUAACGUCCGUCGUGGAGAGGGAAACAACCCAGACCGCCAGCUAAGGUCCCAAAGUAUUGCUAAGUGGGAAACGAUGUGGGAAGGCUCAGACAGCUAGGAUGUUGGCUUAGAAGCAGCCAUCAUUUAAAGAAAGCGUAAUAGCUCACUAGUCGAGUCGGCCUGCGCGGAAGAUGUAACGGGGCUAAGCA
RNAcentral lists this ribosomal RNA (1131 nucleotides) under Vibrio cholerae. Its description in RNAcentral is "partial 23S ribosomal RNA". It matches the Rfam family "Bacterial large subunit ribosomal RNA", at positions 1 to 1188 of the family's 2925-position model. Lineage: Bacteria; Pseudomonadati; Pseudomonadota; Gammaproteobacteria; Vibrionales; Vibrionaceae. The record is from RNAcentral.